RNAcentral lists this unclassified non-coding RNA (384 nucleotides) under uncultured fungus. RNAcentral's name for it is "sequence contains ITS1". The stretch from base 1 to 97 matches the Rfam family "5.8S ribosomal RNA", at positions 50 to 154 of the family's 154-position model. Lineage: Eukaryota; Fungi. The record is from RNAcentral.
GAAAUGCGAUACGCAGUGCGAAUUGCAGAACGCGAGUCAUCAGAUCUUUGAACGCAAGUGGCGCCGGUUAGCAGCCGGCAUGUGGGGCUCAGUGUGUUUGGAAAUCAUAUACGCGCAAUGUGGUUGAAGGGGGGCGUUAAACCCUCCCUACUCCCAUUAAACGCAGCGGGCGCUCAGCAAGGCACUCUCGUAAAAAAAGAGAGCCUGCGUGCACAAACUCCCCGCUCACCGCAACUCCGGUAGUAGUCACUAGCAUCCUAGUGAUCUACGGGGGGCGAUGUGUGAGCGGUGGCAGACGCACGCUAACAAAUGAGCGCCUUUCUAUAAACAAAAAUUUCUCCUCACUCUACACCUGAGCUCCGCAAGACCACCCGCUGAACUUAA